This 264-nucleotide non-coding RNA is filed under the name Ipomoea nil (Japanese morning glory). RNAcentral describes it as "Eukaryotic large subunit ribosomal RNA". It matches the Rfam family "Eukaryotic large subunit ribosomal RNA", at positions 675 to 954 of the family's 3401-position model. Lineage: Eukaryota; Viridiplantae; Streptophyta; Magnoliopsida; Solanales; Convolvulaceae. The record is from Rfam by way of RNAcentral.
CUGACAUGUGUGUGAGUCAACGAGUGAGUAAAGAUUGGUGGGAUCCCUUUGAAGGGGUGCAUCGACGCAUCGCUGAUUGACCUUGAUCUUUUGAGAAGGAUUCGAGUGUGAGCAUACUUGUCGGGACCCAAAAGAUAGUAAACUAUGCCUGAGCCGGGCGAAACCAGAGGAAACUCUGGUGGAAGUUCGAAGCGAUACUGACGUAUAAAUCAGAUCUGACAUGAAUAUAGGAGUGAAAAACUAAUCGAACCGUCUAAUAGCUGA